UCCCUGAAGGACUAGUGGUUAGGCCACAGUGCUCUUGCCACUGCAGCCAGGGUUCGAUUCCUGGACAGGGAA
Pangasianodon gigas (Mekong giant catfish) is the source of this 72-nucleotide non-coding RNA. NCBI's taxonomy places the organism in Eukaryota, Metazoa, Chordata, Actinopteri, Siluriformes, Pangasiidae. The record is from the annotation of a GenBank genome assembly.